This 497-nucleotide ribosomal RNA is filed under the name uncultured bacterium. Its description in RNAcentral is "partial 16S ribosomal RNA". It matches the Rfam family "Bacterial small subunit ribosomal RNA", at positions 28 to 507 of the family's 1533-position model. The record is from RNAcentral.
GAUGAACGCUGGCGGCGUGCCUAAUACAUGCAAGUCGAGCGAACGGACGCGAAUCUUGCUUUUCUGAUGUUAGCGGCGGACGGGUGAGUAACACGUGGAUAACCUCCCUAUCAGACUGGGAUCACUUCGGGAAACCGGCUCUAAUACCGGAUAAUAUUUUGCACCGCAUGGUUCAAUAGUGAAAGACGGUCUUGCUGUCACUUAUCGAUGGUUCCGCGCUGCAUUAGCUGGUUGGUAAGGUAACGGCUUACCAAGGCAACGAUGCAUAGCCGACGUGAGAGGGGGGUAGGCGACACGAGAAGGGGGACAGGGUCAAGACGACUAAGGGAGGCAGCAGAAGGGAAUCGGACGCAAUGGGGGAAAGCAUGACGGAGCAGCGCGGAGUGAGUGAUGAAGGUCUUCGGAGCGUAAAACUCGGUUAUUAGGGAAGAACAGAUGUGGAAGGAACUGUGCACAGAGUGACGGUACCGAAUCAGAAAGCCACGGCUAACUACGUG